CGCCAUUUUGACCCGUUAGCGUCGUUGUUUACACCAUCGCCUUCGUUACAGUAACGAGGUAAAGAGUGGACAUUAGCAGAUCUUCCUCUUCUCUUUCAGAACACUGUCUUAAUGUCCUGUGUGAUGUUCUGUGUGUGGACAAUGUUAAUGUGUAACUCUGAUUGGCCUGGAUCCUGGUGGCCUCCAUGGACAGUUGACCCCACUGGCCUAAGACUUGUACCCGUGGCACCUAGUGUCAUGUUAAAAAUGAUGUGAUGUACUGUGUGAGUGCAUUUGAUAAAAGGAAAUAAAAAGAAAUUUAAAAAAAAAAGCAGACUUUUAAGAAGUUAAAAAACUGAACAGGUUUAUAAAUGUGCCAUGUUGAU
Long non-coding RNA from Pleuronectes platessa (European plaice), 365 nucleotides. RefSeq lists it as uncharacterized. Lineage: Eukaryota; Metazoa; Chordata; Actinopteri; Pleuronectiformes; Pleuronectidae. The transcript is spliced from 2 exons. The record is from RefSeq and is a predicted model, not a curated record.